ACCUGGGUGGCUCAGUGGUUGAGUGUCUGCCUUCAGCUCAGGACGUGAUCCCGGGGACUUGGGAUCGAGUCCCACCUCAGGCU
Molecule: transfer RNA, 83 nt
Filed under: Canis lupus familiaris (dog)
Lineage: Eukaryota; Metazoa; Chordata; Mammalia; Carnivora; Canidae
Also listed under: 1 other name
Rfam family: tRNA
About the family: Transfer RNA (tRNA) molecules are approximately 80 nucleotides in length.
Source: Rfam by way of RNAcentral